AUUGAACGCUGGCGGCAGGCCUAACACAUGCAAGUCGAGCGGAUGAAGGGAGCUUGCUCCUGGAUUCAGCGGCGGACGGGUGAGUAAUGCCUAGGAAUCUGCCUGGUAGUGGGGGAUAACGUCCGGAAACGGGCGCUAAUACCGCAUACGUCCUGAGGGAGAAAGUGGGGGAUCUUCGGACCUCACGCUAUCAGAUGAGCCUAGGUCGGAUUAGCUAGUUGGUGGGGUAAAGGCCUACCAAGGCGACGAUCCGUAACUGGUCUGAGAGGAUGAUCAGUCACACUAGAACUGAGACACGGUCCAGACUCCUACGGGAGGCAGCAGUGGGGAAUAUUGGACAAUGGGCGAAAGCCUGAUCCAUCCAUGCCGCGUGUGUGAAGAAGGUCUUCGGAUUGUAAAGCACUUUAAGUUGGGAGGAAGGGCAGUAAGUUAAUACCUUGCUGUUUUGACGUUACCAACAGAAUAAGCACCGGCUAACUUCGUG
This 484-nucleotide ribosomal RNA is filed under the name uncultured bacterium. Its description in RNAcentral is "partial 16S ribosomal RNA". It matches the Rfam family "Bacterial small subunit ribosomal RNA", at positions 30 to 507 of the family's 1533-position model. The record is from RNAcentral.